UCCCUGGUGGCUCAGAUGGUAAAGAAUCUGCCUGCAAUGCAGGAGACCUAGGUUCGAUCCCUGGUUAGGGAG
RNAcentral lists this transfer RNA (72 nucleotides) under Bos taurus (domestic cattle). It matches the Rfam family "tRNA". Rfam says of the family: Transfer RNA (tRNA) molecules are approximately 80 nucleotides in length. Their secondary structure includes four short double-helical elements and three loops (D, anti-codon, and T loops). Further hydrogen bonds mediate the characteristic L-shaped molecular structure. tRNAs have two regions of fundamental functional importance: the anti-codon, which is responsible for specific mRNA codon recognition, and the 3' end, to which the tRNAs corresponding amino acid is attached (by aminoacyl-tRNA synthetases). tRNAs cope with the degeneracy of the genetic code in two manners: having more than one tRNA (with a specific anti-codon) for a particular amino acid; and 'wobble' base-pairing, i.e. permitting non-standard base-pairing at the 3rd anti-codon position. RNAcentral also lists the same sequence under 2 other names. Lineage: Eukaryota; Metazoa; Chordata; Mammalia; Artiodactyla; Bovidae. The record is from Rfam by way of RNAcentral.